RNAcentral lists this unclassified non-coding RNA (323 nucleotides) under soil metagenome. RNAcentral's name for it is "partial contains 5.8S ribosomal RNA, internal transcribed spacer 2, and large subunit ribosomal RNA". The stretch from base 1 to 120 matches the Rfam family "5.8S ribosomal RNA", at positions 35 to 154 of the family's 154-position model. The record is from RNAcentral.
GAUGAAGAACGCAGCGAAACGCGAUAAGUAAUGUGAAUUUCAGAAUUCAGUGAAUCAUCGAAUCUUUGAACGCAACUUGCGCCUUUUGGUAUUCCGAAAGGCAUGCCUGUUUGAGUGUCAUAUAAACCUCACCUCUACUGUUUUUCAUUAGACAUGUGGACUGGUGCUUUGGGCGUCUGCCGUUUACUCUGGCUCGCCUUAAAUGUCUAAGUGGAAUGCGUAAUAAGUCUUCGCAACCCUCCACUCUAAUACAAACUUUUAUAUUCUGACCUCAAAUCAGGUAGGACUACCCGCUGAACUUAAGCAUAUCAAUAAGCGGAGGA